AACUCUUUUCGUCAAAACACCACAUCACCUUCGUCAUGAUUUCUGCAACACCUCCGCCACGAAAGAAGCACCAGAUUGCAAUUUCUACAAGGAGAGUCGAAAGAGACAACAACUCAACAUCAAAAGGGGAAAUUAUAAUAUAAUUAAUUUACCUAUUCUGAUGUUGUUUUGAUGUUAGAUUUUUAAGGAGAAAUCACUUCAAAUCGAGUUGAGGAAGGAAUUGGAUUAAGAUUACAAGUUUCGAAUUGCUAAAGCAUUAGAUUUGCAGCGCAGGCGCAUCGGGCGUGCGGUUUCACUAGUGUCUCAUAAUAAAAACAGAAAUUGCGAGUUAAAGUUACACCACAACAGGCGACCUAUAAGGUUAAUCAGAAAAGCUUUUGUAAUAAUGACAUAAUGGAAGGGACUAUAUCUCUGAGGUGCAUAUGUCCAAUGAUUGUAAGCCUAUCGGACUCGUUGGCUUUCUAAAUCCUACUUUAUUUUUGAAUUAAAAGACAGUCCAAGCAGAAUCAACAGAGAAAAAGGAUUGCAUAAAGGUUAAGCACCAUCUUUCCGAUUACUGCACACCAUGCUAAGCCUGAGACAUGGACCUCUUUGUAUGUCGAUCUCUCUACGUAUCUUUCCUUAUGGAGGAACUACUCGCAGCAAGAACGACACAAUGACCUUGAAAUAAAUUACAUAAAACUACACUAUAAGAAUAUGAGUUUGUUGCCGCAUUUCUUUACCACACAUCCACGAACAAUGUGGCAAUAGGCGGGUUUUAUUCUCACAGCUAGAUAGGUGUGGCAUUAAGUGAGACAUUUUGCCACAUUCGCAAAUAGUUGAGGCAAAAACUAACUUUUUGCUACAUGUAUUUUGCUGAUGUAGCUAUAAAUCAAGUUCUUCCCACACUGGUG
This is a long non-coding RNA of Papaver somniferum (opium poppy), 893 nucleotides long. RefSeq lists it as uncharacterized. The record is from RefSeq and is a predicted model, not a curated record. NCBI's taxonomy places the organism in Eukaryota, Viridiplantae, Streptophyta, Magnoliopsida, Ranunculales, Papaveraceae. The transcript has 3 exons.